This 46-nucleotide non-coding RNA is filed under the name Schistosoma mattheei. Lineage: Eukaryota; Metazoa; Platyhelminthes; Trematoda; Strigeidida; Schistosomatidae. The record is from RNAcentral.
GUACUGCUGAAGAGUCCAAUACUAGGACGAAACGGCCGUCAAGUGC